ACACUGUUACGCAUUGCUCAAUAGCAAUACUAGCAUUUGAAUUUAUUAAAAACUUUUAGUCAAACGGACGGACAAGUUUUUUUAAAGGAAACAAACAAGUUAUUUCGGAUCAACAGAAGCAAGAUGCCACGCAAGUGCAUCAGAAGCUGCAAAGGCUCGUUACGUCUUUAUAAAUUUCCGGGAGUGCGGGAAAUGCCC
Bactrocera oleae (olive fruit fly) is the source of this 198-nucleotide long non-coding RNA. RefSeq lists it as uncharacterized. Lineage: Eukaryota; Metazoa; Arthropoda; Insecta; Diptera; Tephritidae. The record is from RefSeq and is a predicted model, not a curated record.